AUCAAACCUCUUCAGCACCGGAAAAUAAUCUGAUAAAUUUGGUUUCCCUGCGUUCUCCACUGUCUUCCACACCAGAUCCUUCAACUCUUGAGCUCUACUAAAUUCCGGGUCAACAAUAUCAAUUGAAAACAUGGUACUGAAAAUCAAGUUCAAAGUAGUAGCGAAAACAACUUGACCUAUAUUAACUUGGGUAUUUGAAAUUUCACAAUGUUUUUUGAUAUGUUGAAUAAGUUGCUCAACUUUUUUGUAGCGUAGGUAUUGUAGAGAGUUGAGUUUUUGUCCACUGAACAACUGGGUGCUGCAUAUUCCACGGAGUUUCCGCCACCUAUUGUCAUCACUAGGGCCCCAUACCAAGGAGGUUUCGAGGUUGGGCAUGGAAGCA
This 382-nucleotide long non-coding RNA is filed under the name Gossypium barbadense (sea-island cotton). RNAcentral describes it as "long non-coding RNA (GBAR_LNC011942)". The record is from RNAcentral. Lineage: Eukaryota; Viridiplantae; Streptophyta; Magnoliopsida; Malvales; Malvaceae.